RNAcentral lists this ribosomal RNA (657 nucleotides) under uncultured bacterium. RNAcentral describes it as "bacterial SSU rRNA". It matches the Rfam family "Bacterial small subunit ribosomal RNA", at positions 93 to 740 of the family's 1533-position model. The record is from RNAcentral.
GAGUGGCGGACGGGUGAGUAAUACAUCGGAACGUGUCCAGUAAUGGGGGAUAGCCUAGCGAAAGUUAGGCUAAUACCGCAUACGAUCUGCGGCACUAAAGGCUUUUGGCGAAGGUGGCCAAAGGGCGUUAUUGGAGCGGCUGAUGUCUGAUUAGCUAGUUGGUGAGGUAAAGGCUUACCAAGGCGACGAUCAGUAGCUGGUCUGAGAGGACGGCCAGCCACACUGGGACUGAGACACGGCCCAGACUCCUACGGGAGGCAGCAGUGGGGAAUUUUGGACAAUGGGGGCAACCCUGAUCCAGCCAUGCCGCGUGAGUGAAGAAGGCCUUCGGGUUGUAAAGCUCUUUCGGCCGGAACGAAACGGUGGAUGCUAACACCAUCCAUUACUGACGGUACCGGAAGAAGAAGCACCGGCUAACUACGUGCCAGCAGCCGCGGUGAUACGUAGGGUGCGAGCGUUAAUCGGAAUUACUGGGCGUAAAGCGUGCGCAGGCGGUGGCUCAAGUCAGAUGUGAAAUCCCUAGGCUUAACCUGGGAAUUGCAUUUGAAACUAGGUCGCUAGAGUUUGGCAGAGGGGGGUGGAAUUCCACGUGUAGCAGUGAAAUGCGUAGAGAUGUGGAGGAACACCGAUGGCGAAGGCAGCCCCCUGGGCUAAAAC